GAAAUGCGAUAAGUAAUGUGAAUUGCAGAAUUCAGUGAAUCAUCGAAUCUUUGAACGCACCUUGCGCCCUUUGGUAAUCCGAGGGGCAUGCCUGUUUGAGUGUCUUGAAGCUCUCAAAUGUUUAUUUACUUAAACAUUUGGAUUUGGGUGUCUUUUGCCGGUCUUGUAUCGGCUCACCCUAAAUGCAUUAGCUGGCUUUUGGGUCCGCGAACUCGGUGUGAUAAUUGUCACUCGCUGAGAUUUCGUAACCUUAAGGAAGCUGCUUCCAGUCGUCUUAGGACAAUACAUCUAAGUGUUUGACCUCAAAUCAGGUAGGACUACCCGCUGAACUUAA
Molecule: unclassified non-coding RNA, 334 nt
Filed under: uncultured Hymenochaetales
Lineage: Eukaryota; Fungi; Basidiomycota; Agaricomycetes; Hymenochaetales
Description: sequence contains ITS1
Rfam family: 5.8S ribosomal RNA (bases 1-105)
Source: RNAcentral